AACAUAUACUGUUACCCGUUGUGGGUCGUUUUCGUUUGUUCUGGCCAUUGUUGGGUGGUUGAACACCAUGCAUCUUGUGUUUAUUGCUUUCAAUAUGCUGGUCAAGCUGUGAUUGUGAGUUGACAGUUAUGUUGCAUUUCUCGCAAUGAUAUUCACGCAGGUUCAUCCCACCACCACUACCUGCCGCUGUGUCUUUGUUUAUACCAAGAAUUGCAUUUGAAAUUUUCAAGUAUCUCACAUUUUCCCAUUUCUCACC
Non-coding RNA from Paramuricea clavata, 256 nucleotides. The record is from the annotation of a GenBank genome assembly. Lineage: Eukaryota; Metazoa; Cnidaria; Anthozoa; Malacalcyonacea; Plexauridae.